GACGAACGCUGGCGGCGUGCCUAAUACAUGCAAGUAGAACGCACAGUUUAUACCGUAGCUUGCUACACCAUAGACUGUGAGUUGCGAACGGGUGAGUAACGCGUAGGUAACCUGCCUGGUAGCGGGGGAUAACUAUUGGAAACGAUAGCUAAUACCGCAUAAUAUUAAUUAUUGCAUGAUAAUUAAUUGAAAGGUGCAAUUGCACCACUACCAGAUGGACCUGCGUUGUAUUAGCUAGUAGGUGAGGUAACGGCUCAACUAGGCGACGAUACAUAGCCGACCUGAGAGGGUGAUCGGCCACGCUGGGACGGAGACACGGCCCAGACUCCUGCGGGAGGCAGCAGUAGGGAAUCUUCGGGAAUGGACGAAAGUCUGACCGAGCAACGCCGCGUGAGUGAAGAAGGUUUUCGGGUCGUAAAGCUCUGUUGUAAGAGAAGAACGGGUGUGAGAGUGGAAAGUUCACACUGUGACGGUAUCUUACCAGGAAGGGACGGCUAACUACGUG
RNAcentral lists this ribosomal RNA (505 nucleotides) under uncultured bacterium. RNAcentral's name for it is "partial 16S ribosomal RNA". It matches the Rfam family "Bacterial small subunit ribosomal RNA", at positions 28 to 507 of the family's 1533-position model. The record is from RNAcentral.